GGGCGGUUAGCUCAGGGGUAGAGCGCUUGCCUUACAAGCAAGAUGUCACUGGUUCGAUCCCAGUACCGCCCA
This 72-nucleotide transfer RNA is filed under the name Zarconia navalis LEGE 11467. It matches the Rfam family "tRNA". Rfam says of the family: Transfer RNA (tRNA) molecules are approximately 80 nucleotides in length. Their secondary structure includes four short double-helical elements and three loops (D, anti-codon, and T loops). Lineage: Bacteria; Bacillati; Cyanobacteriota; Cyanophyceae; Oscillatoriales. The record is from Rfam by way of RNAcentral.